RNAcentral lists this ribosomal RNA (164 nucleotides) under Alpinia zerumbet (pink porcelain-lily). RNAcentral's name for it is "5.8S ribosomal RNA". It matches the Rfam family "5.8S ribosomal RNA". From Rfam's summary of the family: 5.8S ribosomal RNA (5.8S rRNA) is a component of the large subunit of the eukaryotic ribosome. It is transcribed by RNA polymerase I as part of the 45S precursor that also contains 18S and 28S rRNA. RNAcentral also lists the same sequence under 2 other names. Lineage: Eukaryota; Viridiplantae; Streptophyta; Magnoliopsida; Zingiberales; Zingiberaceae. The record is from RNAcentral.
CAAAUGACUCUCGGCAAUGGAUAUCUCGGCUCUUGCAUCGAUGAAGAACGUAGUGAAAUGCGAUACUUGGUGUGAAUUGCAGAAUCUCGUGAACCAUUGAGUCUUUGAACGCAAGUUGUGCCCGAGGCUUCGCGGCCGAGGGCACGCCUGCUUGGGCGUCAUGG